GGGGGGGGGGGGGGGGGGGGGGGGGGGGGGGGGGGGGGGGGGGGGGGGGGGGGGUGGUGGGGGGGUGAGCGGCGGGGGGGUGGGUGGUGCGUGGGAGUCUGCCUGGUAGUGGGGGAUAAGGUCCGGAAACGGGCGCUAAUACCGCAUACGUCCUGAGGGAGAAAGUGGGGGAUCUUCGGACCUCACGCUAUCAGAUGAGCCUAGGUCGGAUUAGCUAGUUGGUGGGGUAAAGGCCUACCAAGGCGACGAUCCGUAACUGGUAUGAGAGGAUGAGCAGUCACACUGGAACUGAGACACGGUCCAGACUCCUACGGGAGGCAGCAGUGGGGAAUAUUGGACAAUGGGCGAAAGAAUGAUCCAGACAUGCCGCGUGUGUGAAGAAGGUCUUCGGAUUGUAAAGAAAUUUAAGUUGGGAGGAAGGGCAGUAAGUUAAUACCUUGCUGUUUUGACGUUACCAACAGAAUAAGCACCGGCUAACUUCGUG
This 484-nucleotide ribosomal RNA is filed under the name uncultured bacterium. RNAcentral describes it as "partial 16S ribosomal RNA". The stretch from base 54 to 484 matches the Rfam family "Bacterial small subunit ribosomal RNA", at positions 39 to 507 of the family's 1533-position model. The record is from RNAcentral.